GGCCUUAUCGAUACUGGUAAAACUGGGUAAAACGAGGAAAAAGAGACUCAUAAUCCUUUGGUCCACGGUUCAAGUCCGUGUGGGCCCACCA
This 91-nucleotide transfer RNA is filed under the name Pseudomonas sp. S34. Its description in RNAcentral is "tRNA-Met". The record is from RNAcentral. Lineage: Bacteria; Pseudomonadati; Pseudomonadota; Gammaproteobacteria; Pseudomonadales; Pseudomonadaceae.